GCAGUCGAGCGGACCGACGGGAGCUUGCUCCCUUAGGUCAGCGGCGGACGGGUGAGUAACACGUGGGUAACCUGCCUGUAAGACUGGGAUAACUCCGGGAAACCGGGGCUAAUACCGGAUGCUUGAUUGAACCGCAUGGUUCAAUCAUGAAAGGCGGCUUCGGCUGCCGUUUACAGAUGGACCCGCGGCGCAUUAGCUAGUUGGUGAGGUAACGGCUCACCAAGGCGACGAUGCGUAGCCGACCUGAGAGGGUGAUCGGCCACACUGGGACUGAGACACGGCCCAGACUCCUACGGGAGGCAGCAGUAGGGAAUCUUCCGCAAUGGACGAAAGUCUGACGGAGCAACGCCGCGUGAGUGAUGAAGGUUUUCGGAUCGUAAAGCUCUGUUGUUAGGGAAGAACAAGUACCGUUCGAAUAGGGCGGUACCUUGACGGUACCUAACCAGAAAGCCACGGCUAACUACGUGCCAGCAGCCGCGGUAAUACGUAGGUGGCAAGCGUUGUCCGGAAUUAUUGGGCGUAAAGCGCGCGCAGGCGGUUUCUUAAGUCUGAUGUGAAAGCCCCCGGCUCAACCGGGGAGGGUCAUUGGAAACUGGGGAACUUGAGUGCAGAAGAGGAGAGUGGAAUUCCACAUGUAGCGGUGAAAU
RNAcentral lists this ribosomal RNA (647 nucleotides) under Bacillus sp. PSu5_31. RNAcentral's name for it is "bacterial SSU rRNA". It matches the Rfam family "Bacterial small subunit ribosomal RNA", at positions 57 to 687 of the family's 1533-position model. The record is from RNAcentral. Lineage: Bacteria; Bacillati; Bacillota; Bacilli; Caryophanales; Bacillaceae.